AGUUGAUUGGUUAAAAUCUCACCUUUGGUGGCAGAGUGAGGAAGAGGAAACAUGAUGGUCCAGGGCUUUGAUGGCCAAAAUUACAGGCUGCUGCUCGUCACACAUUAGGGGAAGCAGGAGUGACUGUCUUUCCGUUUGGGUGGACACCAGAAAACUGCCGACGGCCAUCAAGGCUGAAACUCAACAGUUGUUACUUUCUUCAUGAAUCAGCGAAACAACAGAUUGCAGAGAAUUCAUUUCCCUCCAUGGCACUGGCAUGUGGCACCAGAGCUGCUUCUCUCUCUUCACUGAAAACAGGCACUGACUUACUCUGCAAGGCUGUGAAGAGAAGAAUCUCAGCUCCAGUGUAGAAAAAUACAGAAUACGUGAGCACUUCCACGGGUGAGCCUGCCUCAGACCACUUCCCUCCAGACAGCAUAAAGCAGAUGCAGGCUGCUCUGUCAGAAAUAGAACCAUUCCUUGCCUCCUUGCCGUUGCAAACCCAUUAACCAUAAAUCUAACAGGGAUAAGAACAGAUAUUUUUCCUAUUAAAGCAACUCUUUGGUCAUGGACAAACUGAAAGAUUUGAAAUUUUUUUUCAUUAGGGUCCCGGAACAAGAUUUACAAGAUUUCUUUGUUUUUAAUCUUUAAAAAAAUUAAGAAGAGCAGAAAAACAGUUGGUUUAAUUGAAGUGGAAUUUAAAUCUAAAUGGUCCGCCUGAGCUGAAGGGAUUGAACCCUUGCCAUGAGUUCCAGCUUCUGUGGAAAGGGUUGCCGCCGCCUCCUUGCUGGCUCUCUGCAUCCAAGGGAUCUUCUCCGUCGUCAAACUUUUUUCUCAUUUCUAG
This 823-nucleotide long non-coding RNA is filed under the name Pan troglodytes (chimpanzee). Its description in RNAcentral is "long non-coding RNA NONPTRT004569". The record is from RNAcentral. Lineage: Eukaryota; Metazoa; Chordata; Mammalia; Primates; Hominidae.